GACGAACGCUGGCGGCGUGCCUAAUACAUGCAAGUCGAACGAGAGCAACCGGUGCUUGCACUGGUCAAUCUAGUGGCGAACGGGUGAGUAACACGUGGGUAACCUGCCCAUCAGAGGGGGAUAACAUCCGGAAACGGAUGCUAAAACCGCAUAGGUCUUCGAACCGCAUGGUUUGAAGAGGAAAAGAGGCGCAAGCUUCUGCUGAUGGAUGGACCCGCGGUGCAUUAGCUAGUUGGUGAGGUAACGGCUCACCAAGGCCGUGAUGCAUAGCCGACCUGAGAGGGUGAUCGGCCACAUUGGGACUGAGACACGGCCCAAACUCCUACGGGAGGCAGCAGUAGGGAAUCUUCCGCAAUGGACGCAAGUCUGACGGAGCAACGCCGCGUGAGUGAAGAAGGUUUUCGGAUCGUAAAACUCUGUUGUUAGAGAAGAGCAAGUGCUAGAGUAACUGUUAGCGCCUUGACGGUAUCUAACCAGAAAGCCACGGCUAACUACGUG
RNAcentral lists this ribosomal RNA (498 nucleotides) under uncultured bacterium. RNAcentral's name for it is "partial 16S ribosomal RNA". It matches the Rfam family "Bacterial small subunit ribosomal RNA", at positions 28 to 507 of the family's 1533-position model. The record is from RNAcentral.